RNAcentral lists this signal recognition particle RNA (73 nucleotides) under Paracoccus sp. (in: a-proteobacteria). Its description in RNAcentral is "Paracoccus sp. (marine metagenome) partial signal recognition particle sRNA small type". It matches the Rfam family "Bacterial small signal recognition particle RNA", at positions 26 to 97 of the family's 97-position model. From Rfam's summary of the family: The signal recognition particle (SRP) is a universally conserved ribonucleoprotein involved in the co-translational targeting of proteins to membranes. Archaeal SRP consists of a 7S RNA and homologues of the eukaryotic SRP19 and SRP54 proteins. In most bacteria, the SRP consists of a 4.5S RNA and the Ffh protein (a homologue of the eukaryotic SRP54 protein). Lineage: Bacteria; Pseudomonadati; Pseudomonadota; Alphaproteobacteria; Rhodobacterales; Paracoccaceae. The record is from RNAcentral.
CGCCAAUCCGGUCAGGUCCGGAAGGAAGCAGCCGUAACGAGCCCCGCCUGGGUCGUUGUCCAGCCUCUCACCC